GAAAGCUAGAUAGCUCUGUGCUAAAUAAUUCAAGAAGAAUUUGACAGUUUCUAUAUUCCUCUUCGUGUUUCUUAAUAAUGAUAUACAGAGCCAUUGCUGGUCAAUCUCCACUUAAAUAAUUCUAGUUAUGACCUCGGCUACCCUAACAUACUCCGGUAAUGGUAGCGAUAACAUUGUGCAUCCGAAUAAUGUUAUACCUACAACAGGAAUGGAUUUGACCCUGCCCUUCACAGUUUUCAUUUAAUUUCAAAUCCUGGUCUACUGAAGAUGUAGAUCUUUGGCUGUUUAACAGCAAUUCUCAU
This is a non-coding RNA of Pelobates cultripes (western spadefoot toad), 302 nucleotides long. The record is from the annotation of a GenBank genome assembly. Lineage: Eukaryota; Metazoa; Chordata; Amphibia; Anura; Pelobatidae.